This 498-nucleotide ribosomal RNA is filed under the name uncultured bacterium. RNAcentral's name for it is "bacterial SSU rRNA". It matches the Rfam family "Bacterial small subunit ribosomal RNA", at positions 15 to 518 of the family's 1533-position model. The record is from RNAcentral.
GAUCCUGGCUCAGGAUGAACGCUGGCGGCGUGCUUAACACAUGCAAGUCGAACGGAGUUAAGAAGGAAGCUUGCUUCAUUUAAACUUAGUGGCGGACGGGCGAGUAACGCGUGAGGAACCUGCCCUUCAGUGGGGAACAACAACUAGAAAUGGUUGCUAAUACCGCAUAAUGUCGGAGUACCGCAUGACAUUCCGACCAAAGGAUUUAUUCGCUGAAGGAUGGCCUCGCGUCCGAUUAGAUAGUUGGUGAGGUAACGGCCCACCAAGUCUACGAUCGGUAGCCGAACUGAGAGGUUGAUCGGCCACAUUGGGACUGAGACACGGCCCAGACUCCUACGGGAGGCAGCAGUGGGGAAUAUUGGGCAAUGGGCGAAAGCCCUGACCCAGCAACGCCGCGUGAAGGAUGACGGUCUUCGGAUUGUAAACUUCUUUAAUUGGGGAAGAACAAAAUGACCUACCCAAAGAAUAAGUCACGGCUAACUACGUGCCAGCCGCUGC